CUAGCUUCCCUCGUCUAUUUAGAAAGCUGCGACCGAAGCCUAAGCUAUUCACCUCUCCGUGCUCCUCGCGUCCGCCACCCUAGAAAGAUCACGGGAGCCCUCGGUGUGGUGUCCGCGCAGAAGUUAGGGGGGCACCACGGAUUGUGGUGUAGCGUCUUCACAUCGGCGAGGACGCAUACCCUAGGAGCAUCGCAAGAUCACACCAAGCGUACCCGUGGAGGUGGUGGGCUCUGACGGUAGGGGUAGAAGAGUGGAUUGCUCGCCGGAGUUCAACGAGAGCCUCCGUCCGCCCCACGCCCGGUUCUGCGCGCACGUCAUCACGAUUUUCGGGCUGUCGCCGGUGAUGUUCCGCCAUAUGGGGACGGUGGCGCCGCCAUUCAAAACGAAACGGGUGAGGAAAAAUGGCGUAUGCCGUUGAUGAGCAAGCGAAUGGCUGGGAUUAUCCGGCGCGUACCCGUUCGGCGGUGUCAAUCCGGACCGUCCAUCUCUGAUCGAGCGCAUGUGAUUCACCGUGGGCAACUGAGGACACGAGGAUCUAAGGAUCAUCCUGGUACCUGGAA
Long non-coding RNA from Zea mays, 560 nucleotides. RefSeq lists it as uncharacterized. Lineage: Eukaryota; Viridiplantae; Streptophyta; Magnoliopsida; Poales; Poaceae. The transcript is spliced from 3 exons. The record is from RefSeq and is a predicted model, not a curated record.